GUAUUUCUUUUAGAAUGGGUUUAGUGUUGCUGUACUCUUUUAGUUUCUGUUUGUUGGAGAAAUUCUUUAUUUCUCCUUCUAUUUUAAAUGAUAUUCUUGCUGGUAUUUUAAAUGAUAUUCUGCAUUACUCUUCAUAUCUACUCUUAAUUCCUUCCACAUUUUCACUAUCUCCUUUUGAAUUCUGUAUCUGUUAAACUGCAGUGGUCUGUGUCAUUGUUUGCUCCUUCAGGGGAAUUCUCCUGUUCUUUUAACUGGGAAUGGUUCCUGAGCUUUUUAAUUUUGCUUAUAUUUGUCUUAUUCUGUGAGUUUAGGGAAAACAACUGCUGUAGUCUUGGGGGGCUAUUUAUAUGCAAGAUCACCCCCAGAUGGUUUGUGAGGGUUUGCUAUUUAUUUUUGACAUGAGGGUUGUUUUUGGUUUAAAUGCUUUCUGUCUCUUUCCUCAGUGUGUGUGGACUGAUAUCCCCUUAAUAGGGUGUUGCUCAUGCUUCCAGGGACGUGGAGGCAAUGGUCAGGGCCAGUAGCCAGUGCCUGGUUCCUGGGCCCUUGAGAGUGGCAAGGACAUGUGGGAAAGUGGCACAGUCUGCUCCUAGUUGCAGGGCUCUGGGAAGUGGCAGUGAUCCUCAGGCAGGUGUAUGUGAUGCCUGGAGCAUUUGGCAGUGGCAGCAGCAGGGUGUGUGUGUUCUCAGGGGAGUGAGAGCAACAAUGGGUGAUGCUUGGUUGUGUUGCCCUCCUAUGUGCCGACCUCUGAGGUGACUGGGGCCUCAUGUGGUUGCCGGUUCAAGGAUCCCUAGUGGUGGCAGACCAUGCCCACCUCUGGAGUCUGAGAUGACUGAGGUGGUUUGCUCCUGCUGCCUGUAGCCCGAGCAAGAGGUGCUUCACUGCCCAUAGCCCUACCCUCCAAGAGUCUGCACAUGUGCAGAGAAAGCUAUUCCUAUGGCCGUCCACCGCUUCUCCUCUUGCCCUCCCCAACAAUGGCACCUUGCUUCUCCUGUGGCCCCAGACCUCCUCCUGGAUUCCCUUGACUGUGGUACUCUGCUCCCCAGCCUUUGGCACACCAUCUCCUAGCCUUCAGACUGUUUGCACACAGCCAACCCUAGUCCUUUCCCUGAAACUGACCCCUGGAGCCUAAGUCUCAGUGCUCAGCCCCCUUUUGAGCACCUCAGGUUGUGGUGUACCUAUGGUCUUUGUGGCUUUCUCUGCUUUGCCCUCCUCAAUUCAGCUGCUGUGUUUUUCUCUGAGGCUUUGAAUUCCCUCCAUCUCAGCUGAUGAUCUCCCCAUCAGUUAGGUGGCUUCCCAGAGUGUGGGUUCCUUUCCUCUCAGGAAUGCUAGUCCCAUCCUGAUACAUUUUCUCUCUCUCUUUUUUUUCCUUUUUUUCCUACCCAGUUAUAUGGAGGGUUUCUUGUCCUUUUUGGAGGUAUAAGGUCUUCUGCCAGUGUUCAGUAGACGUUCUGUGUGAAUCGUUCUGCAUGUUGUUGUUGUGUUUGUGUGGGAAAGGUGAGUGCCACGUCUUACUCCUCCACUAUCUUGAGCCCACUCCUGGUAGCCUUACUUGUAAAAUGUGCUGCUUCCCAUAUGAGAUGGUUGUGAGUGUCAAAUGUAAUUCCCGUGUUUGAAAAUCCUUGUCUCUUAGAAACUGCUCCCUGAGUAAGCUGUUACUGUUGCCUAUCAUAACAGAAAAUAAGAGCAGUGAGUGAAGUGAGUGACGAGUUGAAUAGAAACCAGCAGCAUGCCUCAGGGGAAUCCUUGUCCCCCUGUCUCUUCAUCAUCAUUCAAACUCUUGGGCUGCCUGAAUUAUGAUCCUAUGGAUCUGCUCUCCCCAGCUCCAUCCUGCCCCUCUGCCCUCACUCUUAGUAUGGCUUUGACAAGAUGCCCAAGGUCUAAGAGAUGGUGAGAUGAGUUUUGUGUAAAGUUUGAAAAGCAAGCCUCCUUCCAGUCUCCUUCUAGACACUGGAGCCCACCUGGUCUCCCUCUUGCCCCCCUCUUCCCUUCCUGGGUACCCAAGAAGCUUGAAUUCCUUUUUCCUUCCUUCCCUUUGCCACCUUGGUUCAGGCUUAGCUGCCUUGUUCUGAGCUCCUGCCUGCUCAGACCCCUAGGCUUCCCCCUCCGCCUCCCCACAUCUAAAGCUUCUUGCACUCUUGAGCAUCCACUGAGGCUGUGGAUGGAUGUAGGACAGACUAGGGACACGUGUGCUCAGGUCAUGCUCUCUAUGUUGAAAGCAGUAUUACAUGAGCUGGGGAAGGUAUGUGCUAGAGCCCAACUGCCCGGGUCCUCACCUGGCUCCGGUACUUACCAGCUCUGUGACCUUGAGCGAGUUUCCUUUUUCUUUUUCCCUCAGCUGAUUCAUCUGCAAAAUGAAGACAAUCUUUGAAUCUACCUCAAAAUAUUUUUAUGAGGAUUAAAAUGGAUUUAUUAAUGUUAAAGUAUCUAGAAUGAUACCUAGCAGAAAGUACCCAGCGAAUGUUGGAUUUUUUUUUUUUUUUUGUCAUUAGUAAGGAGUCAACUACUUCUUUAUUGGCAAAUUCUAGUCAAAGGUGACCUCAAAUUUGAGGUGGUUCCCCAGGUAAAGCUCCUUUCUCCCUAGACCAUGCCUCUACCCUUGGGACAUUCCCAAGUGAGGUGUGUAUAUGAGGAGAGUUUGGCCGUAAUUCGUUUUCUCUUCCUGUAACCACGUUCUUUGCCAGGCACUUUUACAGUUGCUCCCCUAAAGGUAGAUGCAGGUCCCUGCCCUUUUUGUUGGGGCUCAGCUCCAUGACUGCUUUUAGCCCAAGGAAGUGUAGGCAGAAGUGGAUCACUUCAUAUUGUGAUGUCAGUAUUACUGAACAAGGGCUCCCUGCUCAGCAUGCACAGAAGCCGAUACUAUGGCAUCAGCUUUUGAGAAAAGAAAGAGCUUUAUUAUGAGGUCAGCCAGUAGGAAGACAGGAGGCACAGCUCAAAUCUGUCUCGGUGUGGUUUGGUCAGACCUUUAGGAGUUAAGGGAGGAGGGUUUUGAAGCACUGCAGGGCAGGUUUCUCUUAGAGGGGUUUGGAACUUAGCCGUUUAUGGAGACGUGUAUUCGAGGGGCUCUAGGGCCAGGCCUUCCUGAAUAGCGCUUCUGCAUGAGUUCUGGCGUUCAGGUUAUAGUCAUGACCUGGUCCUUUGGUUCCAUAGCAGGGAGAAAUUUUGGUUUGAGGUGUUAUUUGAGGUCAUGACCUGUGGUUUUGCUCUACUGUCUCUGAAAAACAAAUGAGUAUCUUGUCAGAAGCAGGAUAGGGCCCAUUUGGGCUGGUUCUACAGUUACACAAGGACCUUUGGGUGUUUUUUCUUGUCCUCUUGUGCCUCUAUCACCAUCAUGGAAAGAACCCACCCUGGCUCACCAGCUAGUCUGCAGAAGGUGAGACCCUGGAGACAGUGUGGAACAGAACUGAGUCUGACCUUCCACCUAUAGCUGCCUAUUUAUGCAUAUCCUAGCCCAGCCAAGCCAGAUCAAGGUCAGCCAAACCCUCAGCUAACCCACAGCUGGAUGAGCAAAAUAAGUGCUUAUUGUUGUGCACUACUGAGAUUUGCGGUUGUUGGUUGGGUGGCAGUAGCUGUCUGAUACACCUGGUGAGUGGUGUUGAAUUGCCUGUUAUUGGUGACUAGGUUUGGGCCUCCAAACCCAGAGAAGGGAAUGGCUGAUGAGCUGGGUAGACCAUGUGGAACUCUCAUUUGCUCUGAACUAGUUGAGUUGCUUUGAAAUAGGCUGUCACUGCUGCCUGUUGCUUCUGAGUCCCCACCUUGUUCCAUGUCCACAUCUGAGGCUUCGGUCUUUGCACCAGGGUUGCCUGUAGGGAAUAAGCAGAAGAGACCAGGAGAUGGCAAGAUGUGUUCUGAUGGAGCAAGUCCUGCCUAGCAGAGCACCUUGCUGCUCAGGACAUGAGUGAAAGAGAGCGAAAAGCAGGGCCAGCCGGGUCUGCUCUGUGGGACUGGGCUCUGGUUUGCUUUUUCUGUCUCGACUGCUUGGGUAGAAGAGAGAAAUGAAAAAAACAAAACAAACAAACAAAAAAACCACCUAUUUAAAAGCAAGGUUGGAGUUCCCAUCCUGGCUCAGUGGUAACGAAUCUGACUGGUAUCAAUGAGGAUGUGGUUUGAUCCCUGGCCUUGCCCUGUGGGUUAAGGAUCUGUCAUUGCUGAGAGCUUUCAGAUCUGGUGUUGUGGUGGCUCUGGUGUAGGCUGGCAGCUGUAGCUCCAAUUUGACUCCUAGCCUGGGAACUGCCAUCUGCUGUGGGUGCAGCC
RNAcentral lists this long non-coding RNA (4251 nucleotides) under Sus scrofa (pig). RNAcentral's name for it is "lncRNA (ENSSSCG00000059669.1)". Lineage: Eukaryota; Metazoa; Chordata; Mammalia; Artiodactyla; Suidae. The record is from RNAcentral.